GCACCCCUCGGGGUUGCAAACAAUAAAGAUUGGAAACAAUACAGAGAAGAUUAGCAUGGCCCCUGCACAAGGAUGACACGCUUUUCCAGAAUGGUAGACCUACGGGUCUCAAUAUUUAU
This 119-nucleotide small nuclear RNA is filed under the name Paxillus involutus ATCC 200175. The record is from RNAcentral. Lineage: Eukaryota; Fungi; Basidiomycota; Agaricomycetes; Boletales; Paxillaceae.